UUUUCGGGUCAAACUUUAUGGGAUUUUGGGUCUUCAAAAUCCCAAUUUUGGGGAUUUAUGGGAUUUUGGAGAUUUAUGGGAUUUUGAGGCUUCGGAAUAUCAUUUUUUGGGUCCAACUUUAUGGGAUUUCGGGUCUUCAGAAUCCCAUUUUUGGGUCCAACUUUAUGGGAUUUUGGGUCUUUGGAAUCCCCAUUUUUGGGUCCAACGUUAUGGGAUUUCGGGUCUUCGAAAUCCCAAUUUUGGGGAUUUAUGGGAUUUUGGAGAUUUAUGGGAUUUCGAGGCUUCGGAAUAUCAUUUUUUGGUCAAAAUUUAUGGGAUUUCGGGUCUUCGGAAUCCCAUUUUCGGCUCAAACUUUAUGGCAUUUCGGGUCUUCGGAAUCCCCAUUUUUGAAUCCAACUUUAUGGGAUUUUGGGUCUUUUUGGGGUGGGAUUUGGGGUCUUUUUUGCUCACCCGACUCUUCGGCCUCGGAGGAGUAAUCCUCGUCGCUGUCCUCCUCCUCUUCCUCGUAGUCCUCCUCAGAGGGGUUGAAGGUCUCAUCCUCCAUCUCCGACUCCGACUCCCCCACCUCCGCCUCGCUGCCCUAAAACGGCCCCAAAACGACCCCAAAUUCGACCCCAAAUGGCCCUAAAAUGGCCCUAUAGGGUUCUGGUGGGUCCAAUGGGGUCAAAUGGACCCAAAGUGGCCCUAAAAUGGCCCCAAUGGGGUCAAAAUGGCACCCGAGUGGCCCCAAAAGAACUCCGAUGGGUUCCACUGCCAACAAUGGCCCCAAAACGACCCCAAAUGGCCCCCAAAGGACCCCAAAUUCGACCCCAAAUGGCCCUAUAGGGUUCUGGUGGGCCCAAUGGGGUCAAAUGAACCCCAAGUGGUCCCAAUGGGGUCAAAAUGGCACCAGAGUGGCCCCAAAGGAUCUCCUAUGGGUUCCAGUGUCACCAAUGGCCCCAAAAUGGCCCCAGAACGACCCCAAAUUCAACCCCAAACGGCCCUAAAAUGGCCCUAUAGGGUUCUGGUGGGCCCAAUGGGGUCAAAUGGACCCAAAGUGGCCCCAAUGGGGUCAAAAUGGCACCCGAGUGGCCCCAAAAGAACUCCGAUGGGUUCCACUGCCAACAAUGGCCCCAAAACGACCCCAAAUGGCCCCAAAAGGACCCCAAAUUCGACCCCAAACGGCCCUAAAAUGGCCCUAUAAGGUUCUGGUGGGUCCAAUGGGGUCAAAUGGACCCAAAAUGGCCCCAAUGGGGUCAAAAUGGCACCCGAGUGGCCCCAAAAGAACUCCGAUGGGUUCCGCUGUCAACAAUGGCCCC
Molecule: long non-coding RNA, 1298 nt
Filed under: Gallus gallus (chicken)
Lineage: Eukaryota; Metazoa; Chordata; Aves; Galliformes; Phasianidae
Description: lncRNA (ENSGALG00010000393.1)
Source: RNAcentral